AACGAACGCUGGCGGCGUGCCUAACACAUGCAAGUCGUGCGAGAAAGUUCCUUCGGGAGCGAGUAAAGCGGCGCACGGGUGAGUAACACGUAGGUAACCUGCCCCCCAGUCUGGAACAACUAGAGGAAACUCUAGCUAAUGCCGGAUGAGACCACGAUCCCUUCGGGGGUUGCGGCCAAAGAUGGCUUCUACUUGUAAGCUAUUGCUGAGGGAUGGGCCUGCGGGCCAUUAGCUUGUUGGUGAGGUAACGGCUCACCAAGGCUGUGAUGGCUAGCUGGUCUGAGAGGAUGACCAGCCACACUGGGACUGAGGCACGGCCCAGACUCCUACGGGAGGCAGCAGUGGGGAAUAUUGCGCAAUGGGCGAAAGCCUGACGCAGCGACGCCGCGUGGGUGAUGAAGGCCU
This 405-nucleotide ribosomal RNA is filed under the name uncultured bacterium. Its description in RNAcentral is "bacterial SSU rRNA". It matches the Rfam family "Bacterial small subunit ribosomal RNA", at positions 29 to 417 of the family's 1533-position model. The record is from RNAcentral.